This 271-nucleotide long non-coding RNA is filed under the name Mytilus galloprovincialis (Mediterranean mussel). The record is from RNAcentral. Lineage: Eukaryota; Metazoa; Mollusca; Bivalvia; Mytilida; Mytilidae.
GAUAUACAUAUGGUUAGGUGCUACAUGUUCUAAAAUUAGAUUUUAACAUGCGCUUAUUUGAACAACAAACAUAAACUUUAAAAGGCAACAGUAGUAUUCCGCUGAUCAAAAGUCAUAAACCGAUUGAGAGAUAACAUAUAUAGUACUAAUAUUAAACAAUGCUUGAGUUGCAACGGUAUCCCAGAUAUUAUGUUUAAGAUAAUGCAUAAUUAAAGGCUUUCUUGUCAUUUAACACAACAGUGGUGUCAAAUGACAAAAUAAGUACAUGUAG